Molecule: long non-coding RNA, 2445 nt
Organism: Alosa alosa (allis shad)
Lineage: Eukaryota; Metazoa; Chordata; Actinopteri; Clupeiformes; Clupeidae
Exons: 10
Source: RefSeq, a predicted model, not a curated record
AGAAACGCAACGCGACGGACACACAAUUCAGUUCGGCAACGGAUCACGUGAGCCCAUUUAAAGUGAAUGGCAUGCGUCUCCAGCAACGCGAUGCACGCAGCUGUGUGUGGGAGCCGUAACUUGCCCGACGCGCUGUUCAAUAACUUCCAGUAGCGAUAAAGUUAAGUUCCUUUAUUGUAGAAAACAGUCAUCUCCACACAGUAAAAAAUGGAGUGUCAUUAUUGCAGAGUAAACCUAUUUUCCUCUGGAUAGAGUAGUUAUAACAAUGUACAGAGUAAAAUCGUCUAAAUAGUAGUGUCAAAAGUGAGAGUUAAGUCCAACAUGCACACAAUGACCAAAUCUACUCUACAUGGUGAUUCCCCGCGGAAAAUCCUAGAACUGAACUGGAGCUCAAGCUGGCAGUGGCACGUUGGAAAUCGUCUCUUUCCCCACUAGCAGACCUAUCGUGAAAAUGCUGCUGCGUGUCUCGUUUGGCGGAGUGCAGAUGUACAUCAAGCUGCCUGAACAUUUGGUGAUUUCUUGAGAGAAGUGAGUCUAAAAUUUAACAUUGCUGAAGACAGAUGGUUGGACAUCAAGGUUUAUGACCAGUCUAACACAGAGGUUGACUCUGAGGUUUUUGAGGAGAUGUACAAGAGUUCCAUGGACCUUUCCUAAUUUCAUUGGCCAAUGAAGCACCUGGUAACCCUCAGUCCACGUCAUCUCCAUGCUCUAUUGCAUCUGAAGACACAGUGAUCCUCAACUUCUCGUUGUGUGACCCAGCUGAGGAGCCAGUUGCAGCCGAAGGAAGUCAACCUAAAAGGCCUUGCCGCAUUAACUAUGAAGCAAAAGCUCUGAUUGAAAAAAUCUUGACGACAAAGCCUGGAGGUGACCGUGUCAUGGAGGAGUAUGCGAAAACAAAAUCAAUUACAGAUUCAACCAGAAGACAGCUCAUCAACAUACUUACUGCAGAGAUGACGGAAACACAUGGGACAUCUCUGCCCCGGAGUGUAAAAGUGAUGUAUGCACAGGGGAUUUUCGCUCUGUUUCCAUACCUUGAAGACCCAUAUUCACAGAAUGGCUAUGAACAUUACUACGAUCCUGAAAGUGGUUCAGGCUACAUUGCAUGGCGGAAAGGGAAAGAGGUCCUGCAGUUAGUAAGUCUCCUAAAGUUGGUGGGCCAGGCCAUGGGCGUACUAGACCCUUUACUGCCGACAGAGUCCUGACUGACGAGGAAGUGGAAUGUGCUAUCGCUUUGUUGAGACACACUGCUGAUGAGGAGACCAUCCCUGAAAAGAUGAAAGUCACUUUCGUAUACCGCCACACCAUGGUCAAUGAUGAGAACAAAUCAGCAGAGGUCUUCUCAGUAUUUCCACGGUUCCUAGACACACCAGGACUGAUAGAACAAGAUUUUAGAGUGAUGUUUGGUGAGCAGACUGCCAACAAGUUCCUGGAGAGGUGGCCUACCACUUUCAAAGCAGGAGUCAUUAAGGAAAGCCAUGGACUGGUCCCCUCCACAGACCUUCUUGAUUUAAUGCGCAAUGCUGAGACAUCUACUGAAGUUGAAAAAGAUGGGAACAAGCGUGCAGCAGCAUCUUGACAACAUCGCUCAAAGCAGUCAGCCCUACCUCCUUGCUCAGGGACCCACAAAAAGCAGCAUUCACUCUUUCUUCAUUGCCAUCGACAAGCAUGCACUUCCAUGCCAAGCCACCAGCUCGGUUGGAACCCUGGAUGAGCUCUUCAAGGCCCACUAUGUGUUUGGUACAUCUUACAGUCCUGUCUUGAACAACUUUUUCACUUUUCUGCAAACUUCCAUUUACAACAUUGACAUGGGGAAAACUAAGGAAACACCAAGAAUUGCAGAGUUGCAAGCAAGAAUGGUGCGUUAGGCACUCUUGAAAUUAAACAAUGAGGUGCUUUCUUUGCAGCAAUGUCUUUGGUGAAGCAAACAAUCUAGUAAAGCACCUCAAAGUAAUACAUGGACUCUGUACAGGAAGGACUCUUUAUCUUCAAUGUGGCCAAGUGGGAUGCUCACGUUUUUUUCAAUAGUUUUUCUGGUCUUAGGAAGCAUCUGAAUAAGUCAUCAUGUGAAUAGUGCAUGUGAUUGUUGAAACUGAACCACCACAUUGUCAAACUGUUCUUGAUAGUACUAAUGCAAAUCCCGCAGAAGAGACAUAUGAGGCUGAGGUUGAGUCAGAGCCAGCAUUAUCGUCAGAACACCUUGUAAAUAGUUGUGCCUCUGUCAUUUCAGAUCUAAAGGCAGCAGGUGUAGCCCAGUCUUGUUAAUUCUUUUGUGACCUCCAUGGAGAAUAUUGUGCAGGAAAUUCAUGAGCAUGCAAAAGAGUCAGUCAUCCAGGGUGUAUUUCGUGAUCAAAGAGACACUGAAACAUGCAAGAAUGUGGAGGGAUGUUUUAACCAAUUAGAGAAUCCAUUCACAGCUCUAAAUUCAGAUUACAAACAAUCAAAAUG